CAACCUGCCUUUCAGAGGGGGACAAGCAGUUGGAACCGACUGCUAAUGCCGCAUACGAUCUAAUCUCGGCAUCGAGGAUAGAUGAAAGGUGGCCUGUACAUGUAAGCUAUCACUGAAGGAGGGGAUUGCGUCUGAUUAGCUAGUUGGAGGGGUAACGGCCCACCAAGGCGAUGAUCAGUAGCCGGUCUGAGAGGAUGAACGGCCACAUUGGGACUGAGACACGGCCCAGACUCCUACGGGAGGCAGCAGUGGGGAAUCUUCCGCAAUGGACGAAAGUCUGACGGAGCAACGCCGCGUGAGUGAUGACGGCCUUCGGGUUGUAAAGCUCUGUUAAUCGGGACGAAAGGCCUUCUUGCGAAU
This 360-nucleotide ribosomal RNA is filed under the name Veillonella parvula. RNAcentral describes it as "bacterial SSU rRNA". It matches the Rfam family "Bacterial small subunit ribosomal RNA", at positions 122 to 465 of the family's 1533-position model. Lineage: Bacteria; Bacillati; Bacillota; Negativicutes; Veillonellales; Veillonellaceae. The record is from RNAcentral.